AUCUGACAUGGGGCAUGAAACUCUGUUUCUCCAAUAGUGAACCUUCUUCCAGUGAUCCCACAGGCUCCCCGGCGAGGAAGGAAGGAUCACUCCAUAAACUGCCACACCUUUUCAGUCCAAGCUCCCCGUUCCAACCCUCAGUGAACCUUGGGCCAGAAGUAAGGGUGUGGAUGCUGAGGUCCAUCUGCAGAGACCAGUAAGCCACAUGUCAGCUACACCCUGCCACAUGCAGCCAUUGCAUCAUCCGGACUCCUGAGAUCGCAUACCUGAAGCCUGGACAGAGCUCAUGGCUUCUCCUUGCAGGACUCGCGUCAACGUUACUCCCAGAACCCAGAUGAAGGGCUUUCUUACAUCAUUGGCUGGAGACGGCCGCAGACGGAGCGGUGGUGUGGUUCCCAGGUCUGAGGUGGAGAGUUGAGCAUUAUGGGAAACACUGACAGCCCACAGCCUCACUCAGAUCACUCUGUGCUCUUCCAGCUGACCAAAUUAAGCUCACAAGCUGAAUGGCUCCAGCCUACAGACUUUUAGCCUGAAAAUACCCCCAGUUAACUUUAAACUAGUGACUACUUCACAGAUUUUAUGUUAAUGACAAGUGGGUUUGAAUCAGCCUCUGACUUAGUCCAGACUGAG
Molecule: long non-coding RNA, 630 nt
Organism: Brienomyrus brachyistius
Lineage: Eukaryota; Metazoa; Chordata; Actinopteri; Osteoglossiformes; Mormyridae
Exons: 4
Source: RefSeq, a predicted model, not a curated record